CAAGUCGAACGAUUAAAGCUCUCUUCGGAGAGUGUAUAGAGUGGCGCACGGGUGAGUAACACGUAAGUAAUCUACCCUCGAGUGGGGAAUAACAUCGGGAAACCGAUGCUAAUACCGCAUAAUGCAGCGGCACCGCAAGGUGACAGUUGUUAAAGAUUUAUCGCUUGAGGAGGAGCUUGCGGCAGAUUAGCUAGUUGGUAAGGUAAUGGCUUACCAAGGCUACGAUCUGUAACCGGUCUAAGAGGACGGUCGGUCACACUGACACUGAAUAACGGGUCAGACUCCUACGGGAGGCAGCAGUCGGGAAUUUUGGGCAAUGGGCGAAAGCCUGACCCAGCAACGCCGCGUGAAGGAUGAAGUAUUUCGGUAUGUAAACUUCGAAAGAAUAGGAAGAAUAAAUGACGGUACUAUUUAUAAGGUCCGGCUAACUACGUGCCAGCAGCCGCGGUAAUACGUAGGGACCAAGCGUUGUUCGGAUUUACUGGGCGUAAAGGGCGCGUAGGCGGCGUGACAAGUCACUUGUGAAAUCUCUGAGCUUAACUCAGAACGGCCAAGUGAAACUGUUGUGCUAGAGUGCAGAAGGGGCAAUCGGAAUUCUUGGUGUAGCGGUGAAAUGCGUAGAUAUCAAGAGGAACACCUGAGGUGAAGACGGGUUGCUGGGCUGACACUGACGCUGAUGCGCGAAAGCCAGGGGAGCAAACGGGAUUAGAUACCCCGGUAGUCCUGGCCCUAAACGAUGAAUACUUGGUGUCUGGAGUUAUUAGUGCUCCGGGUGCCGUCGCUAACGUUUUUAGUAUUCCGCCUGGGGAGUACGCUCGCAAGAGUGAAACUCAAAGGAAUUGACGGGGACCCGCACAAGCGGUGGAGCAUGUGGUUUAAUUCGACGCAC
This 889-nucleotide ribosomal RNA is filed under the name uncultured Bacillota bacterium. Its description in RNAcentral is "bacterial SSU rRNA". It matches the Rfam family "Bacterial small subunit ribosomal RNA", at positions 58 to 959 of the family's 1533-position model. Lineage: Bacteria; Bacillati; Bacillota. The record is from RNAcentral.